RNAcentral lists this long non-coding RNA (423 nucleotides) under Elaeis guineensis (African oil palm). RNAcentral's name for it is "long non-coding RNA (EGUI_LNC004838)". The record is from RNAcentral. Lineage: Eukaryota; Viridiplantae; Streptophyta; Magnoliopsida; Arecales; Arecaceae.
CUCAUAUCCCAUGCCCAAUCUUUUUAUCAUUUUUUUCGAAGUAUAAAAGCUCCCAACAAGCUUCUCAUUUUUCGAUAAUAUUUUCUUUAUUAUUGCUACCAUUCUAUCAUAACAAUUAACCAUCAUAUUAAACUUGGCCAUCAAGUUUAACAACUCUAACACAGCUGAUAAUAUAAGACCAACCGCAUCCAUAACUAUGUCUACCAUUCUAUCUGUGUCCCUAUCCUGCUUGCUUCUAAUCCUUACAACUUUCUUUCAUGUCUCCCUAGGCAGGUACUAAUACUUAUAGUUGGGCAUAAAUCCACUCUUAUACAAAUGGAUAGUAAUUGUAUCCCUAUCAAAUAUUUUUUUAUUGCUACAUCCAUUACAAGGACAAUGAGCCUAUCCUUGAUGUAAGAGUGCUGCAUUCUCAAAAGUAAAAUC